RNAcentral lists this ribosomal RNA (322 nucleotides) under uncultured eukaryote. RNAcentral describes it as "partial 18S ribosomal RNA". It matches the Rfam family "Eukaryotic small subunit ribosomal RNA", at positions 1470 to 1796 of the family's 1831-position model. The record is from RNAcentral.
CCCUUAGAUGUUCUGGGCCGCACGCGUGCUACACUGAGUGGAUCAGCGGGUCAGGUUGCGCGAAAGUGUUUCCUAAUCUUUAAAUCCGCUCGUGAUGGGGAUUGACGGUUGCAAUUUUCCGUCAUGAACGAGGAAUACCUUGUAAGCGCGGGUCAUCAUCCCGCGCUGAAUACGUCCCUGCCCUUUGUACACACCGCCCGUCGCUCCUACCGAUUGAGUGGUCCGGUGAGGCUUUGGGAUCUGAGCGGAAAGAGCGUUUCGCUGUUUCUGCUCGGAGAACUCAGUCGAACCUUAUCAUUUAGAGGAAGGAGAAGUCGUAACA